AACGAACGCUGGCGGCGUGCUUAACACAUGCAAGUCGAACGCGAAAGGGACUUCGGUCCUGAGUAAAGUGGCGCACGGGUGAGUAACGCGUGGAUAAUCUACCCGACGGACCGGGAUAACAUUUCGAAAGGGGUGCUAAUACCGGAUAAGACCACGGGCUCUUCGGGGCUUGGGGUAAAAGGUGGGGACCUUCGGGCCUACCGUCAUCGGAUGAGUCCGCGUACCAUUAGCUAGUUGGUGGGGUAAAGGCCUACCAAGGCGACGAUGGUUAGCUGGUCUGAGAGGAUGAUCAGCCACACUGGAACUGAGACACGGUCCAGACUCCUACGGGAGGCAGCAGUGGGGAAUUUUGCGCAAUGGGGGAAACCCUGACGCAGCAACGCCGCGUGAGUGAUGAAGG
This 400-nucleotide ribosomal RNA is filed under the name uncultured bacterium. RNAcentral's name for it is "bacterial SSU rRNA". It matches the Rfam family "Bacterial small subunit ribosomal RNA", at positions 29 to 414 of the family's 1533-position model. The record is from RNAcentral.